RNAcentral lists this ribosomal RNA (468 nucleotides) under uncultured bacterium. RNAcentral's name for it is "partial 16S ribosomal RNA". It matches the Rfam family "Bacterial small subunit ribosomal RNA", at positions 28 to 507 of the family's 1533-position model. The record is from RNAcentral.
GACGAACGCUGGCGGCGUGCUUAACACAUGCAAGUCGAACGGACAGGCCCUGCCUUUGUGGGGUGCUCGAGUGGCGAACGGGUGAGUAACACGUGAGUAACCUGCCUUUGACUUUGGGAUAACUUCAGGAAACUGGGGCUAAUACCGGAUAGGAGUUUCUGCCGCAUGGUGGGGGUUGGAAAGUUUCGGCGGUUGGGGAUGUACUCGCGGCCUAUCAGCUCGUUGGUGGGGUAGUGGCUUACCAAGGCUUCGACGGGUAGCCGGCCUGAGAGGGUGACCGGCCACAGUGGGACUGAGAUGCGACCCGUACUGCAUCUUGAGGCAGCGGUGAGAGAUAUUGCACGAAGGGCGGAGUCCGUAUGCAGCAACGCCGCGUGCUAGAUGACUGCCGUCAGGGAGGAAACCGCGUUCUCCUGUUACGGAGCGUGAGUGACGGUAAUGGGUAAAGAAGCACCGGCUAACUACGUG